GAUAAGGAUUUGUUAACGUUGCCAUUAUCAUAACUACGCAACGACGCUUCGUGACGUCAUCGCUAGCAUGGAUAAUACCGUUAACAUCAGUGUUUACUGUUUAUGUAUUAUGUUACAGGUAACCAUGAACUAAAUUUUCAUCCGUUCAUCGAUCUGUCGAUUUUUACCCUAGUGGCUAGUGUUACUGUUUGGUGUGUUAGUGUUUCUGUGUAGUGUUUUAGUGUGGUCGUCUUUUUGUAUGAGAAGGUGUUGUAUGCCACAGUGUUUGUGUAACGCAUUAAUGCAGUUCGAUCGUCACUUCUAAUAAAGUAAGUAAAUACUAGUACUUACUUCGUUUAUCUCAGCUGAUUAAAAUUUCAAUGUCAGCAAAUCGGUAUUUUCGGUAAAGUUAACUUAAAACCGAAAUGAAUUUGUUGCUUUUUAUUGUAUCAUCUGAUAGUCAUCCAUUCAACCAUAUUGUUUACUAAAAUUAAUAAACCAUAAUAAACUGUUGAAAUAGAAAAUGACUUUCAGAUUUUAUGAUCAUCAAUCCAAACGUUCAUUAAUUUAAUAAUUCAUUGAUUGAAUAAGGUUUUUGGAAUACAUGGGUAUCUAUUUAUUAUCGUGUGUCUAUAUUUUUUU
Non-coding RNA from Cinara cedri, 621 nucleotides. The record is from the annotation of a GenBank genome assembly. NCBI's taxonomy places the organism in Eukaryota, Metazoa, Arthropoda, Insecta, Hemiptera, Aphididae.